Artibeus jamaicensis (Jamaican fruit-eating bat) is the source of this 517-nucleotide non-coding RNA. The record is from the annotation of a RefSeq genome assembly. Lineage: Eukaryota; Metazoa; Chordata; Mammalia; Chiroptera; Phyllostomidae.
AAGACAGGCCCUGAAGCCAUAUCCUCAGGUGUGGGUCAGAGGAAGAUCCUGGGGCAUCUCCACCAUGGCCUGGACCCCUCUCCUGCUCCCCCUGCUCACUCUCUGCACAGGUUUGGUGGCCUCUUCUGAAGUGACUCAGCCCUCAGCAGUGUCUGUGAACCCAGGACAGACAGUCAGGAUCACCUGCCAGGGAGAGGCCGUAAGAAAAUAUUAUCCUUCCUGGGUACAGCAGAAGGCAGGCCAGGCCCCUGUAACAGUCAUCUAUGGAAACAACAAUCGGCCCUCAGGGAUCCCAGACCGAUUCUCUAGUUCUGACUCAGGGGACACCAACACCCUGACCAUCAGCGGGGCCCGGGCUGAGGACGAGGCUGACUAUUACUGUGCAGCAGGGGACGGUAGUACUAAUACUCACAGUGACACAGGCAGGUGGGGAAGUGAGACAAAAACCUCCAUCUGUGUCACACUCCCCUCAGGACCCAGGAGGAUGCAGACAAAGCCAUGAGCAGCUUUGGCCCUG